GAGUAUAAGAUUGUGCUAAGGAAGAGUUAUUGGGACUCUGCCUAUGAUGACGAUGUCAUGGAGAACCGGGUUGGCCUGAACCUGCUUUAUGCUCAGGUGAGCUUGGAGCUGCCUCAGAACCCUUCCCCUGAAGAAAAUAACUGGUGACUCACUCUCCCAAGAAAACUGCUGUCGUGUCUUUGUUCCCAAUUUGUGGGGAAGUUCCUAGAAUACUAUUAGUGCUGCUGGCACAAUAUCUACUCUCCCUACUUUUAUUAAGCUGACAAGAUCAAGGACUUACUGCAAAGAGGUCACUCAAGUGUGGGGCUAGGGGUCAGGCUGGACAGAGGUAAUGGUAGACGCUUUCCUUGGAUUGCUGACUGGGACCUCCUACUGCCUGCCCCUUGUCUCUACUAUAGACGGUAUCAGAUAUUGAGCGUGGGUGGAUCUUGGUCACCAAGGAACAGCACCGGCAACUCAAAUCUCUGCAAGAGAAAGUCUCCAAGAAGGAGUUCCUGAGACUGGCCCAGACGUUGCGGCACUAUGGCUACCUGCGCUUUGAUGCCUGUGUGGCUGACUUCCCAGAAAAGGACUGUCCUGUGGU
Molecule: small RNA, 583 nt
Filed under: Pan troglodytes (chimpanzee)
Lineage: Eukaryota; Metazoa; Chordata; Mammalia; Primates; Hominidae
Description: retained intron
Source: RNAcentral